CCUCAAAUCAGGUAGGACUACCCGCUGAACUUAAGC
This 36-nucleotide ribosomal RNA is filed under the name Tricholoma sp. GI304. Its description in RNAcentral is "partial large subunit ribosomal RNA". The record is from RNAcentral. Lineage: Eukaryota; Fungi; Basidiomycota; Agaricomycetes; Agaricales; Tricholomataceae.